This 1735-nucleotide long non-coding RNA is filed under the name Homo sapiens (human). Its description in RNAcentral is "HSALNT0311755". Lineage: Eukaryota; Metazoa; Chordata; Mammalia; Primates; Hominidae. The record is from RNAcentral.
GUGAGAAGCUGCUACUGACCAGCAGAGGGAAGUGGCGGCAGCUGGUGUUGGGGCUGAGGGCUUCCAGGCCAGGCUGGGAAAGGGCUCUCAGUGUAGCAAGGGCAGGGAGAAGGCCCAGGCUGGAAGGUCCACUCCUCAUUCUCCCUGCCCCACCCUGCCAUGCCCAUCCUGAUGGUCACCAUGGCCUGUACCAGGCCUCCGGCGGAGAAGCUGGGCACCACGUACUUCACGUCAAAGUCGCGAGAGGCCGCGUAGGGGGUGCGCGGGCACUGCCAGUCCUCGCCCGCCGCGGGCUUGGCAGGCAACAGCAGCAGCAACAGGAAGGACUGAGGCAGCGGCGGGAGGAGCUCCAUCGAGGCGAGCUGGGACCCUAGAGGAUCCCUACCGGCCUGGGCCUGGACCUGGGCGUGGGCCUGGCUGGGGGCCCGACUCGAGGUCUGGACUGGGCCAAAUUUAAGCAGCGGUCCCGACAGCCCCAAGAUAGCGGACCCCCGCCCCAGGUUCCUGUGAAACCCAAAUCCCUUCCCGGCCCUCGGGUCUGAGCACCUGACGCCUGCGGACGCACGACAGCAACGCCCCAGCCGCCUCACCUGCCGCCCCAGCCGCCGCUGUACACUGGCGCUUAGCGCUCAGCCGACCCGAGGGCGCCGGGCUGGGCGGGCGGAGUCGGGCCGUGGGGGCGGGGCCGCGAGGAAGGCUUGGCCUAGCCCAGGCCCUCCGCCCAUCCGACUCUUCCGGCCCUUGGAGGCCUGGCUCCUGUACCUUCACCUGGCGUCUUGGCGCCUUUUUCUCAGCGGCCUGUGGGUGGAUGUGCAUGGUGUGGCCUGGAGAGAGGGGGAUUCUCACUCUCUCCAAAGGCAAAGCCCAUGUCAGAGGCAACUUUGGUCCUCGCCGCAGCCCCAUGAGGCCAGCAGUGUUGUUAUCUUCUGUUCAGGAUCAAGCCACUGUUCCCUUCUGCCACUGUCUGCCAUGGAUGAUGCUUCUCUGCAACUUACAGCCCACCAGUCUCCUCUCAUCGUACUGGAAAGAAGACCCAAACCACUCAUGGCAGCAGUGGUGGCUGAAGCUCCACGUGCAAACAGAUAGGGAAGCAGAGCCUGUAUCCUGACAGCUGGCCUGGUGGCCACUCCUGCACUGAGCCUGAAGGACCGCAGAGCACAUGGAGGGUUGGGCACCACUGCCAACAGCAUCACCCCACACAGAAUAAAACCAAAGAAAGAAGGUUGGGGAGAUAAUCUGGGGAUUUUCUAGGCCCCCAGUCCCAUCCAUCAGGACAAUCAAGAGUAAUGGUUCCCAGCAAGAGUCAGAGCCCAGAAGGAAAAGGCGCAGGCUGCCUUGUCAGACAGUGGGCCAGAGGAACUAAGAGGCUGCAUGCCCUCAACAGGAACCUGCGGUAGCAUCCACAGAGGUCCCCUCUGAGACUGAGACUAAGAGGAGCAAUCCAAAACAACCACCACAACACCACAAGGCCCAGGAUGCUGAAUGCCAAGGAAACUAGGGCAUGUCUAAGUCUUGCGCAAGAACACACAGGCCACGUAAAUCUCAUAGACCAGUAAUUCCAAAGCUAUCCUAAAAGCCAGAGUGGGCUCUGAGAGAUGAGUCUGCCCAAGUGCAGGCCAAGAGUAAGCUGCUCCUGACAGUACCAGGGUUGUGGCCAGGGCUUCCAGGCCUAUCUGGGCUCAAGCGAUCCUCCUACCUCAGCCUCCUGAGUCGCUGGGAACACAGGCGUGAGCCA